UCAGGUCGAAUUCGUAGGUUUUCAGGAUGAUGUGAAAGUUACCCAGAGACACAUCAUAAUGUGUGUGGGUCUCACACAGUCACCUGAAAGCCUGAAUAGAAAAAAGACUGACCUUUCCCGAGCAAGACGGAAUUCUAUCCUUCUGCUAGUAGACAGCUUCUAGACUUGAAUUGCAACAUGGACUUCAAAGAUUUUGGACUUGUCAGCCUCCAUAAUUGUGUGAGCCAAUUCCAUGAAGAUCUAUCUCUUUACACAUAUACAUAUCCUAUUUGUUCUGUGUCUUUGAAAAACCCUAAUACAAAAGUAAACAGAAAUCUCAGAAUUUCAGAAAUUUCAAUGCCUAAUGAAGGCUACAGUUUUUCUCCUCUGCUCUACUCUAGCAAGGAUCAACGUGUAUGAAAGAAAUGAGAGGGGCACUAUUGAGCAAAAGGCCUAAAAAUCCUCAGUCUGCUUGGUGAUGACCUCUGGAGUGAAUAUUGCCUAUCAGAAUUGUCCUGAAUCAGGAUGAUAUGGCCUAGACCGUAUACUUCACCUUGCACAGUAACAGGAUACAAGCUUCCCUGGAAAGGGUGUGGCCUCAGGCCUUGCAAUUCCCUGCAGCUGAGAUAUGCUCAAGAGUCUCUGACUGUCUGAAAAGUGCAUUUUCUGCAUCUGGGCAGCAAGUCUUAUGGCUACAUACCAUGUACCCAAGGUCACAUAAAUUUGUUCUAGUAAAGCCUACACAUCUGGCACAGUAGGUAUGAUUGGAGGUACAAUUUGUUUGACACUUUGGUGGUCUACAGUCAUCCUUCAGGACCCAUCUGAUUUUUGCAGGAGCCAGACUGGAUCCGUUCUUUCCACUGCUUUCCCAGUAUCUGGACAUACUGCCUGCCAACCUCAUUUACUUAAUCAUAAUUUGUGUUACUUAUCUUUCCUUUGAAUAAAGCUGUUCAAACCGCUCAUC
Molecule: long non-coding RNA, 943 nt
Organism: Canis lupus familiaris (dog)
Lineage: Eukaryota; Metazoa; Chordata; Mammalia; Carnivora; Canidae
Exons: 4
Source: RefSeq, a predicted model, not a curated record